GUUGAGUUGAGUUGAGUUUAUGAAAAUAUCCUAAGCUUCGUCCACGCAAGUGCGAUAGGAGUCAUUCCAUAUGUGUGGUGUGAAAAGCGCAUUGUUCCCUACCAUGUGUUGUUAGCCUAUCUAUACACUCAUUUUUGUACCCAAAAAAAUGCCUAAAUAAAAAUUAAAGACAUUGAAAACCUGACUUUUUCCAUCCAGACCUCAAUUCUCUAUUCAUAGACUCAUUAUAUAUAGAUAUAGAGCAAAUCAAUGAAUAAUUUUUUGCCAUAUUCAAUUUUGUUGUUUUCAAAAAUUAUGUUUCCU
This 303-nucleotide unclassified non-coding RNA is filed under the name Hevea brasiliensis (rubber tree). The record is from RNAcentral. Lineage: Eukaryota; Viridiplantae; Streptophyta; Magnoliopsida; Malpighiales; Euphorbiaceae.